This is a long non-coding RNA of Lycium barbarum (goji berry), 2166 nucleotides long. RefSeq lists it as uncharacterized. The record is from RefSeq and is a predicted model, not a curated record. The transcript has 3 exons. NCBI's taxonomy places the organism in Eukaryota, Viridiplantae, Streptophyta, Magnoliopsida, Solanales, Solanaceae.
AGAAAAAUAGUAUUUUAUACCUAAUUAGUGUUUUUGGGUAAGAAUCUUGUGGAUAUAUAGAGUCAUCUUUGGUAGAAAGCGUCCCAUAAGUAGACUUUACAUCACAAAUAUAAAUCAAUCAGCUCGUAUCGAAUAUCAAGUGAAAAAUAAUAAUUAAGCAGCUAUGUCGCCACCCCAAAAUUUUAAUUCUUCCGGGAAUAAAGGGUCCCUUUGGAGGAUCCAUCAUUAGGGGCGGAACUAGCAUGACAAAUACAUAUUCAGUAAAUUAAGUAAGUUUGGUCCAAACCCUAUAUACUUGUAGUAACAUCUACUCUCUCUCUCUGUAUACAUACAUAUAUAUAUAUAUAUAUAUAUAUAUAUAACCUCUCUCCUUCUUCAAACCAUGUAAGUUUAUUUGUUAUGUUUUCUGUACUAAUCUCCCUAUUAUGUAAAUUAUUUUGUGAUUAUUAUGUUUAAGUAAUUACUUCCUUAUCAUCAUGAAUUUGUUAUUCUUAGUAUAUGGUUAUUCUCUUAACUUCUUAAUAACCUCGAUGGAUUAACCUGUAAAUUCCUAGGUUUUAAAGAGGCCGUUUUAAUGUCCAAAUGAUAAAGGACGAUGUUGGCCGUGGUUACCAGGGUGUGGUGUAUAUAUAUAAGCAAAUUAUAAACUUCAAAUCCCAAAAAUCUUCAAAUCCAAAACUCAUAAAGUUCAAAUCCUGAAACCAGCUCUGUAUAUAAUCGUCAGUUUACAGUUUUUUCCUAUUAUUGCCGCAUAACUUUAUUUUCUUAUCACCAAAGGAUUCAGGAAAAAAAAAAAAAAAAAAAACAAAGCAAUGGCGAUGACUGAUCGAUGCUAUAUGUCAAUUUGUUAGUGCAUAUAACAGAUCUUCCAUUUGCAUGAACGAUGAUUUGGUUGCCUAAUUUGUUAAAGCUUUUGUGUGACAUAGUUUUGGGUAAAACGUAAGAAAAAUAACAUGGUUAAUAAAAGGUAAAAAGCUGCCAUCAUUGUCUUUCAGAUUUGAAUCAAAUCUAGCUAGAGGAGUAAAAAAGUGAAGCUUUAAUUAUAUUUCUGUGAAACAAUAUGGGGCCAUCAGUAUUCAGUCCGUGUCCGUGUGUUUUCAAAAGCAGCGAGAAUCUGUCCUUAAUUAACCUGAAUCAUAUUUAAUUUGUCUUUAAUUAAUGAAUACUUCAAUUGUUAAUCGCUCUUUAAUCUUCUUGCUUGUCUCGAUUGUUUUUGCUUCAAAUAUUGAAAAUAAUGUCUUCUUGUAAUCGACGACAUUGUUAAAUCUAAUUCGUUUCUUGAGAUUAAGUUUAAGCUAAUAUUUUUUGAUAUACUUUAGUUAUUAAGAAUAACAAACCGAAAAGCAAGGGCGGUGCUAACAUGGGAAUUUGGAAAGUACUGUUUAGCAGGACCAAUAAUUUUAUUUCAAACCUUAUAUAUUUGUUGAAAAAUUCACUGAGCAUGUACAUAUAGUAAUAAACUUGAGAACCUAUAACUUCAAAUCCGAAACUUGUAAACUUUGAAUUAUGGAUCGGUCUCUACCAGAAAGAAAAACAUAGACGCACUAGUUGGGUAGAAAUUAUCACUAAUAAAAAAUGAAUGAGCAUCAUUGCAUCUUCAAUUCAGAAAGUAAGCAUUAUUUAUCUUACGUGCUUUUGUCUUUGUUAAGGUUUGGAGUUUGGGAAUGUGCAUGCACCAGUCAUCAUACUUAAUUCUUGAUUACAGAGAAUUUAAGAUAGAAUCAUAAGUAGGCGUAGCAUUAUUUAUACUUGGUCUGUUUAAGUGGAAAGCACAAGUGUUAUGCCUGUAGAUAAAGAGCAGACAAUUAAAGCCAGCUUUUGUGGUGAUGCCGGCAUCGAACCAAUUAAUGCAGCGUAGGGAUGCCAACAAUGGUGAAGCGGGACAAGAAGUUUUUUUUGCUCGCGCGUGCUUAUGGUUCUCUAUACCUAAUUUGUUGAUGAAUUUAUUUAAAUUCAUCCUCAAAAUCCCCCAAUGUCUCCUUGUUGCAUAUAAGGAGCUUGGACUUCUUGCCUCCUGAGGGGUCUCAUAUUUUGAUUAGCCAUCUUUAAUUUAGUCAGGAGAAUAAACUCUAUUUCCUUGGACGUAUCUUCACAGAUUAAGAUCUUCUGUAUGCUUGUAGAUGGUUUCUCCCUUCAAAUAUAUUUAAUAUAUUUAAAUGUAUCUUC